GAGGCCGUCGCUCAAGGCGGCUCCAAAAGGCAGUCGGGUCGCGAACUGGCUGUCGAGUAGGUGAUCGCCCCCGAGGGCAACUUCUCUACGAAGGAAGAUGCGGGUGAAACUCCCGUCGGCCUCUCCA
RNAcentral lists this transfer RNA (127 nucleotides) under Anaerolineae bacterium. Its description in RNAcentral is "tRNA-Arg". Lineage: Bacteria; Bacillati; Chloroflexota; Anaerolineae. The record is from RNAcentral.